This 285-nucleotide ribosomal RNA is filed under the name Enterobacter sp. July_NA5E6. RNAcentral describes it as "partial 16S ribosomal RNA". It matches the Rfam family "Bacterial small subunit ribosomal RNA", at positions 1087 to 1372 of the family's 1533-position model. The record is from RNAcentral. Lineage: Bacteria; Pseudomonadati; Pseudomonadota; Gammaproteobacteria; Enterobacterales; Enterobacteriaceae.
CCGCAACGAGCGCAACCCUUAUCCUUUGUUGCCAGCGGUUAGGCCGGGAACUCAAAGGAGACUGCCAGUGAUAAACUGGAGGAAGGUGGGGAUGACGUCAAGUCAUCAUGGCCCUUACGAGUAGGGCUACACACGUGCUACAAUGGCGCAUACAAAGAGAAGCGACCUCGCGAGAGCAAGCGGACCUCAUAAAGUGCGUCGUAGUCCGGAUUGGAGUCUGCAACUCGACUCCAUGAAGUCGGAAUCGCUAGUAAUCGUAGAUCAGAAUGCUACGGUGAAUACGUU